UCUCACUUCACCAGAAAUUUGAUUUCAAUUCAUUCUUAUCAACCGCCAGAAUUCAUCCCCAAAUCAAUCUCACUUCACUCCGAUCAAAUCGAAACCAGAAAUGGAAGCAACAAUAAGCCCCCAAUUUCUUCCCCCAAAAUCAAUCAUCGCUCAAUUCGACGCCCCCAAUAUCCCCCCUCAAAACCCUAAUCACCUACUCGGAUUCCCAAUUCCAGUUCCACCGCCGCGACUGCUGUUCUGGAAGAGCCUGACGUGGACGGAUGCGACGAGCCACCGGCUGUACAUCAACGAGAGGUUCAGGCCGGGGCUGAUGGCGGAGCUGACGGCACCAGAGCGACGCAGAGUGGAGACGGAUUUUGAUCGGCGAUGAGACGGGUUUUCUCGGGGUUCUGGCUAGGAUGAAUGCACUGAUCGCCAGGGGAGAGCUGGUGCUCCAGAAAGAGUGGAGAGAUCUGGCGAUGAGAAACGGAUUGGUCGACGGGGAUGCAUUGGCGGGAUACGGCUACCGCAACAGCCUUGAUUGCCAUGGUGCUUACGGCAGCGGAGGCGAAGGCCAGGGCGGCGAGGGCGAAGGAGAUAGCGGAAUUGGAGGCGCUAGUAGCAGAGAGAGCGGAGUUGGAGGCGCAAAGUGUUGUGUUGAAGUGCAGAGUAGGCAUGUGCUUUUCUUUUUUCCUUUUAUUUUUAAUAAUUACAUCAUCGGCGACAUCCACAAUAAUUACAUUGAUUGACUAUGAACAAGAUUUGAUUUUUUUUUCUUUUUAUUUUUAAUAAUUAUAUCAAUUGACUACAUGUUACGAACAAGAUUUGAUUUUUUUUUCUUUCUAUUUUUAAUAAUUAUAUCGAUUGGUGACGCCCACAAUAAUUAUAUCGAUUGACUACAUGUUAUGAACAAGAUUUGAUUUUUUUUUUCUUUUUAUUUUUAAUAAUUAUAUCUAUUGGUGACACCCACAAUAAUUAUAUCGAUUGACUACAUAUUAUGAACAAGAUUUGAUUUUGAUUGUGGAAAGUUUAAUUGUUUUGAAUUUUUUUAUCAGAAAAUCAAAUAUACAGUAAACCACAACAGAGAAUCAACCCCAAAAUCCAAAAUGUACGUUGAAGUUUUGUUUCUGGCAGUAUAAAUUUAGCAGAUUAUGAUUUUCUAGGCGCACAAGGCCAGUGCUUUCUAAUUUUUGCAUUGUGAUUUGCGGGUGGAAACAUAUUUUUGUAUUAAUGUUUGUGUAGUAUUUGUUUAAUAAAUGCAGGUUUAUGGUUAUAAAGUGAUUUUCAAUGGA
Non-coding RNA from Salvia hispanica, 1271 nucleotides. Lineage: Eukaryota; Viridiplantae; Streptophyta; Magnoliopsida; Lamiales; Lamiaceae. The record is from RefSeq and is a predicted model, not a curated record.